UCGGGCGUUCCCCUUCGGGGGGACAGGGUGACAGGUGGUGCAUGGUUGUCGUCAGCUCGUGUCGUGAGAUGUUGGGUUAAGUCCCGCAACGAGCGCAACCCUCGACCUUAGUUGCCAGCAUUCAGUUGGGCACUCUAAGGUGACUGCCGGCUAAAAGUCGGAGGAAGGUGGGGAUGACGUCAAAUCAUCAUGCCCCUUAUGACCUGGGCUACACACGUGCUACAAUGGGCGGUACAAAGGGUCGCGAACCCGCGAGGGGGAGCCAAUCCCAAAAAGCCGCUCUCAGUUCGGAUUGCAGGCUGCAACUCGCCUGCAUGAAGCCGGAAUCGCUAGUAAUCGCGGAUCAGCAUGCCGCGGUGAAUACGUUCCCGGGCCUU
Molecule: ribosomal RNA, 377 nt
Filed under: uncultured Anoxybacillus sp.
Lineage: Bacteria; Bacillati; Bacillota; Bacilli; Caryophanales; Anoxybacillaceae
Description: bacterial SSU rRNA
Rfam family: Bacterial small subunit ribosomal RNA
Source: RNAcentral